AACGAACGCUGGCAGCAUGCCUAACACAUGCAAGUCGAACGAGACCUUCGGGUCUAGUGGCGCACGGGUGCGUAACGCGUGGGAACCUGCCCUUAGGUUCGGAAUAACUCCCCGAAAGGGGUGCUAAUACCGGAUAAUGUCUUCGGACCAAAGAUUUAUCGCCUUUGGAUGGGCCCGCGUUGGAUUAGCUAGUUGGUAGGGUAAAAGCCUACCAAGGCGACGAUCCAUAGCUGGUCUGAGAGGAUGAUCAGCCACACUGGGACUGAGACACGGCCCAGACUCCUACGGGAGGCAGCAGUGGGGAAUAUUGGACAAUGGGCGAAAGCCUGAUCCAGCAAUGCCGCGCGAGUGAUGAAGGCCUUAGGGUUGUAAAGCUCUUUUACCCGGGAUGAUAAUGACAGUACCGGGAGAAUAAGCUCCGGCUAACUCCGUG
This 433-nucleotide ribosomal RNA is filed under the name uncultured bacterium. RNAcentral describes it as "partial 16S ribosomal RNA". It matches the Rfam family "Bacterial small subunit ribosomal RNA", at positions 29 to 507 of the family's 1533-position model. The record is from RNAcentral.